GAUGAACGCUGGCGGCGCGCCUAACACAUGCAAGUCGAACGGCACCCCUCCUCGGAGGGAAGCGAGUGGCGAACGGCUGAGUAACACGUGGAGAACCUGCCCCCUCCCCCGGGAUAGCCGCCCGAAAGGACGGGUAAUACCGGAUACCCCGGGGUGCCGCAUGGCACCCCGGCUAAAGCCCCGACGGGAGGGGAUGGCUCCGCGGCCCAUCAGGUAGACGGUGGGGUGACGGCCCACCGUGCCGACAACGGGUAGCCGGGUUGAGAGACCGACCGGCCAGAUUGGGACUGAGACACGGCCCAGACUCCUACGGGAGGCAGCAGUGGGGAAUCUUGCGCAAUGGGGGGAACCCUGACGCAGCGACGCCGCGUGCGGGACGGAGGCCUUCGGGUCGUAAACCGCUUUCAGCAGGGAAGAGUCAAGACUGUACCUGCAGAAGAAGCCCCGGCUAACUACGUG
RNAcentral lists this ribosomal RNA (459 nucleotides) under uncultured bacterium. RNAcentral's name for it is "partial 16S ribosomal RNA". It matches the Rfam family "Bacterial small subunit ribosomal RNA", at positions 28 to 507 of the family's 1533-position model. The record is from RNAcentral.